RNAcentral lists this ribosomal RNA (439 nucleotides) under uncultured bacterium. RNAcentral's name for it is "partial 16S ribosomal RNA". It matches the Rfam family "Bacterial small subunit ribosomal RNA", at positions 339 to 795 of the family's 1533-position model. The record is from RNAcentral.
CUACGGGUGGCUGCAGUGAGGAAUAUUGCACAAUGGGGGGAACCCUGAUGCAGCAACGCCGCGUGGAGGAUGAAGCAUUUCGGUGUGUAAACUCCUUUUAUAUGUCAAGAAAAUGACGGUAGCAUAUGAAUAAGCACCGGCUAACUCCGUGCCAGCAGCCGCGGUAAUACGGAGGGUGCAAGCGUUACUCGGAAUCACUGGGCGUAAAGGACGCGUAGGCGGGUUGGAAAGUCAGGUGUGAAAUCCUACAGCUUAACUGUAGAACUGCACUUGAAACUUCUAAUCUAGAGUAUGGGAGGGGGAGAUGGAAUUAGUGGUGUAGGGGUAAAAUCCGUAGAUGUCGCUAGGAAUACCUAAAGCGAAGGCGAUCUCCUGGAACAUUACUGACGCUAAGGCGUGAAAGCGUGGGGAGCAAACAGGAUUAGAUACCCGUGUAGUC